Musa acuminata AAA Group (dessert banana) is the source of this 881-nucleotide long non-coding RNA. RefSeq lists it as uncharacterized. The record is from RefSeq and is a predicted model, not a curated record. NCBI's taxonomy places the organism in Eukaryota, Viridiplantae, Streptophyta, Magnoliopsida, Zingiberales, Musaceae. The transcript has 2 exons.
AGGGCGGCCGGAGGAGUUCACAUCAUGCCUAGCAGCGCACGAAAGCAGCGCCUGCAAACGGACGGAAGUCAACAGGCUGUUCCACACGUUGUCGCAGCGUCGACUCGAUGGUGGUCUUCGACCUCACAAAGAUUCAACCACCGGGCCAAACGUGACCACAAUAACCGAACCUGAUCCCCGUCCACGCCUCCGCCUUCUUCCCCGCCUCCCUCAUCCUCUUCUCCGGAGACUCCCUCCGCAGAGAGCACGGGUCCAAUGAAAGACUUCAGAUCGAGGUCAUACAACGACGGCCGGAUGGCGGCGGUGCCUCCUCCGUCCAGCCUCUACGACUACAGGAGCAACAGCACGAGCUCCUACGCCUACGGUGGCUACGGCUCCAAAGGGAUCAAGGAGAAGGAAGCCGCUGCGCCCUCUUCCUCAUCCAAGAAGGGCGGGUGGGUGCUCGGCGACCCUGAUUUCCAGCGGCGGAAGCGCGUCGCCAGCUACAAGGCCUAUGCCGUGGAGGGCAGGGUGAAGGGGUCCGUGAGGAGGGGCUUCCGCUGGCUCAAGGAUAAAUACACCCAAAUCGUCUAUGGCUGGUGGUGAUCCGUCUCCUCCUGAUUGAUGGUUUGUAGAGCUUUGUCGAAGUUAUUGGAUUUUGAAGGUUGAAGGAGGAAGUUGUUUGCUGAUUCCAUUAUCAGCAAUAGUAGUUAUAUUCCAGCCAGAAGUUUCUGCUCAUUGAUUUUUGCCCUAAGGUUUGAAUAAAUAUUGCGUGUUAAAUAAAAGGUAUAUGUUUGUUAUCUAAUAGAGAAAUCUGUCCGAAAUAGUGUACAUCUGCUGAUGGAUCUGAAUACCUGUGAAUAUUAUUGUCAUUUGUCAGGCACGACAUAUACUUUUCCAUA